This 253-nucleotide ribosomal RNA is filed under the name uncultured bacterium. Its description in RNAcentral is "partial 16S ribosomal RNA". It matches the Rfam family "Bacterial small subunit ribosomal RNA", at positions 524 to 776 of the family's 1533-position model. The record is from RNAcentral.
UACAGAGGUCUCAAGCGUUGUUCGGAUUCAUUGGGCGUAAAGGGUGCGUAGGUGGCGCUGUAAGUCGGGUGUGAAAUUUCGGAGCUUAACUCCGAAACUGCAUUCGAUACUGCGGUGCUUGAGGACUGGAGAGGAGACUGGAAUUCAUGGUGUAGCAGUGAAAUGCGUAGAGAUCAUGAGGAAGACCAGUGGCGAAGGCGGGUCUCUGGACAGUUCCUGACACUGAGGCACGAAGGUCAGGGGAGCAAACGGG